RNAcentral lists this ribosomal RNA (417 nucleotides) under Punctelia rudecta. RNAcentral describes it as "eukaryotic LSU rRNA". It matches the Rfam family "Eukaryotic large subunit ribosomal RNA", at positions 1 to 413 of the family's 3401-position model. Lineage: Eukaryota; Fungi; Ascomycota; Lecanoromycetes; Lecanorales; Parmeliaceae. The record is from RNAcentral.
AUUGACCUCGGAUCAGGUAGGGAUACCCGCCGAACUUAAGCAUAUCAAUCAGCGGAGGAAAAGAAACCAACAGGGAUUGCCUUAGUAACGGCGAGUGAAGCGGCAACAGCUCAAAUUUGAAAUCUGGCCCCUUUGGGGUCCGAGUUGUAAUUUGUAGAGAGUGUUUCGGGUGAGGACACGGUCUAAGUCCAUUGGAACAUGGCGUCAUAGAGGGUGAGAAUCCCGUAUGUGACCGUGGAUCGAGCCCAUGUGAAGCCUCUUCGACGAGUCGAGUUGUUUGGGAAUGCAGCUCAAAAUGGGUGGUAAAUUUCAUCUAAAGCUAAAUACUGGCUGGAGACCGAUAGCGCACAAGUAGAGUGAUCGAAAGAUGAAAAGCACUUUGGAAAGAGAGUGAAACAGUACGUGAAAUUGUUGAAA